GGAGAGGUACCGAAGCGGUCAUAACGGCGCCGCCUCGAAAGCGGAUGGGUUAAUAGCCACGUGGGUUCGAAUCCCACCCUCUCCG
RNAcentral lists this transfer RNA (85 nucleotides) under bacterium. RNAcentral describes it as "tRNA-Ser". It matches the Rfam family "tRNA". Rfam says of the family: Transfer RNA (tRNA) molecules are approximately 80 nucleotides in length. Their secondary structure includes four short double-helical elements and three loops (D, anti-codon, and T loops). The record is from RNAcentral. RNAcentral also lists the same sequence under 4 other names.